Molecule: long non-coding RNA, 2423 nt
Organism: Pipra filicauda (Wire-tailed manakin)
Lineage: Eukaryota; Metazoa; Chordata; Aves; Passeriformes; Pipridae
Exons: 3
Source: RefSeq, a predicted model, not a curated record
CCUGGGCUGGCGGGAGAGCAGGAGUUAACCCAUCCUGCGGGAUGAGGCUGUAAUUGCCACUAGGCUCCUAAGAUGAAUGAGCUUUUAAGGACUGCCAACUUCUGAAUGGAGGCAGGAGGACCAGCAACAGCACCGACUUAAUAACCAGCAGCCAGCGGCAGGAGCACAUAUGGAGGCAGCGUGGUUCAGCUGGAAAUAAACCCCGGAGGUGUCAGGGCAGCGGAUAAGGGCUGUGCUGGCAGCGUGGAGGUGGAAAAGAUGAAAUCUGACUGCUGGGGAAACAACCAAGGCUGCCAGGCUGGACAUGCGUGAUACAUCUCUGGCUGGGACUUGGAUCCUUUGAACCCAGCUGAGAAGCAGCAGAGAAAACCAUCAAAUUAGGCACAGGGUUUGACCUCAGAAGACCAUGGAGAGGCUGUGUGCCCUGGGACCCCACAGAGCAGCACCUGUGGGGGCUGGGGAGAGACCAAGGGCUGCUCCUGCAUGUCAUGGGUGGGGUCACCAAGGGGCACCCGCCCUUCCACUGCGCCAGUAUCACCACCUCUACACCAGGCCCUGUGGCACAAAGGGGUCCAGGGGACCUGUUGUGGCAUUGCCCUGACUCUGAGCAGCUCUUGGAGCUCUUGCACAGCAGCAAACACGUUUAGAACAUUGUACCUCACCCUGCAAGCAGCUCCCUGAGCAGAGGCAGCGGGGCUCUUGUGGAGGAGUCACAGCUAAGCUUAAGCAUCUGGCUCUGUGCAUUCCUAUAUUGUAAUAAAAUAAGUCUUCCCACAGAUUUCACGUCAUCUUUGUCUGGGCAUCACUGAACUGUGAAGAGAGGAACUUUUUUGUGGUUUUCCAAGGAACAAAGAGAUGAUCUGCAUCUGGUGAGGUGUCCUGGCAGCCUCCUGCACUCCAAGCCUGUAUCUCAUGCUAGCCGUGCAGCCCGGUGUCCUGGGACAGCUGCCUGGCACACAGCACCCAAACUGCAGAGCCUGUGAUCCCCCAGGCCUGGGGACUGUGAGAGAACCUCACUGCAACCCACAAAGACCAGGAACAGCAGCCCCCAAAGAGAAAGAGAUUCCCCAGCUGUCUCUGCGUCUGUAUCAGCUUGACCUGAAACAAGGAUGUUCUUCUGCUGGAGUCACUGAUAUCACCAACAUUCAGGGAGGAUAAGGGGCAAAGCUCCUUCCAUGGCUACAGAAUAUCUGACUGUAGAUACAAGGUUCUUAUCCAAAUGUUUCCUUACGAUAUCUCCUGGGAUGCUUCCUUUUAAGGCCAAAUUUGUCUGUAUUGGUCCCUACUCUAGAAAGGAAUUUGAGGUGCAGAACCAGUUCUGAUGUCAGAGCAGCAUUGCUGCCACACUCCUGCACAUGCUGUACACCUGAGGAACACAGCAGGCUGCAGCACUCGGCGUCCUGGGCCUUCUUGUGUGCCCCUUGUACGCCCCUGGCCUUAAACACACUGAUCUGUGUGCACAGCUUGGACCUUGACAUGCUUCAGCAGAGAAACGCUUCACAGGUCAGUGAUUAUUUCUCAGCCACUCGACAGACACCCAUCACAUCACGGAGCACAGAACCCACCCAGAGGAUAACAAAACAGCACAGGGAGGAGCAUCUGUGCUUGGUUCAAACAGAUGGAAACCAUGCACUGAGCGAUCCCUCGAGUCCAGGGCUUGUGUCUCACCCAUCCAUCAUGUCCUGGUGCUGCAUCGCUCAGGCAUUUCUGACAAAAGUGAUGAGAUAAUCUCUGCCCUGUGGGAGCUGCUCUGCUGGUAUGUCCUGUGACAGGAGAGGGGAAGCAGAGCGCUGCCUCCUCCCCUGCUCAUCUUUGCAGAGAUCCCUGUUCUGACUCAGCCUCAGUAGGGAAUGCAAGUCCCUCAAAUAACCUCCAAAGAUUUGGAAAUCAGGCUCAGGGAGGCACCAUCAGUUUGUGUCACUGCUGGAGAGGAAAGGUAUUACCUGAAGUUGCACAGAGUCAUGAACAACUGGAUGAGAAGAAAUACAUAUUGCAGCUGGAUUUCUCUGCUCCCCCUUAAAAAACCACCACCACAGAGAGUAAAUGACUGAAACCAUAGAGCCAUUAGCUAAACUCUCCAGCCUCAAAGCUGUCCCACUUGGGAAGGUCUGGACAGGACAGCUGCCUGUGGGGACCCUGCCACACGUUGACUCAUGAGUUGGCUGCCUUCAUGAACCCUACUGAGAACCUGAGUUUAGUUCGUAGCAAAUGUCCUCUGGGGAUGGAAAAAAUAAAAAUUAAAAAAAAAAAAAGAGAGAGACUGACCCAUUUGAGUUCCAUCUGUUGGGGUUUAUAAUGUUCUCCUUAUAAUUGCCAACAGACAAUGUGAAUUGCAAUUAGCUAAUUGCUUGCUAACUUUCCGUUCUAAUAAUAGUCAUGUUCCAGUGUUAUACAAGCUUGGAGGCUGCUGCUGUUCCCUUGCA